GGAGGGAUCAUUAACACGUAUCCAAACACGUUUCAAACUCAAACCGUGCUCCCUUUGUUUCUUCCCCCCAUUGGUGAAGAAGGUGUACUAGUAAGCCAUCAGAUGGAUUGUCUCUCUGUCUCUUCUCUCUUCGGAGGGGGGGGCGCAGAGGAUACUGCUUGCAGUACUACGAUCUCUUCGAGGAUCAGCCGCUUCAUCUCUGGGUGUAAUUUUUCUCUCAAGCCAUCUGGGUUAUUAGUACCAACCCGGUUCCGACCCGGAGUCUAGUAACCUUAAUAAACCCAAUUUUUUUAAACCCCUUUCAUUGUAACUAAUUUACUGACUUACUAAAAGCUAUGGGUAAUCCCUGGUUUUUUGAUAUACGAAACGCGAACAACUCUUAGCAAUGGAUAUCUUGGUUCUCGUACCGAUGAAGAACGCAGCGAAAUGCGAUACGUAAUGCGAAUUGCAGAAUUCAGUGAAUCAUCAAAUCUUUGAACGCAAAUUGCGCUCUCGGGAUAGACCUGGGAGCAUGCCUCUCUGAGUAUCGGUUCUAACUCUACUCGUCAGCGUACUUCUUUUUUAUUAACUUAAAAAAGGGGUAUCGACUGCACGGAAAAUGAGUGUCUCUAUCACACAAGUGGGAUGGAGUCACUUGAAAAACAUAGCGGAACACUUGUCCGAUUAGCACUUGUUUACAGGUGACGUGGAUAGAACUACCCCUUUGGGUGUUUCAAAACGUCAAUGCCUGGUCAAACUGAGUUGCUUUGCGGGCUGCUUCUGUUCCGAAAGAAAUACGCUAUCAUGGUGUGUACCUUUGUGUACUACUUAUGAUACUUGAAAAUAGAUCUCAGAUGAAGCAAGAGGACCCCCUGAAUUUAAGCAUAUUAUUAAGGGGAGGAAAAGAAACUAACAAGGAUUCCCCUAGUAACGGCGAGUGAAGCGGGAUGAGCUCAAAUUGAAAAUCGGCAACCCAUGCGGGUUGUCGAAUUGUAGCCUAGAGACGUAUUGUCAGCGUGUGGCCCAGGUAUAAAUCUUUUGAAACAAGGUAUCAUAGAGGGUGAGAAUCCCGUCUUUGACCUGGAGACCGCCGCGUACGACGUACGUUCAUCGAGUCGAGUUGCUUGGGAAUGCAGCUCUAAAUGGGUGGUAAAUUUCAUCUAAAGCUAAAUAUCGACGAGAGACCGAUAGCGAACAAGUACCGUGAGGGAAAGAUGAAAAGAACUUUGAAAAGAGAGUUAAAAAGUACUUGAAAUUGUUAAGAGGGAAGCGCUGAAAACCAGUCAUUAUCUAUAACUAUACUUACUAUUUGCUCUCGAAGGAUGUUGCGGAUCAGAGUGUAAGCCUGAUCGGAUAUCGGACGAAGGGUAAGUGGGUCCUGUAGUUGUAGAUGGGUCAGAAUCAAUUCGAUUCGCGGGUGAAGACUAUGGGAAAGGUAGGAUCUCCGGAUCUGUUAUAGUCCUAUAGGCCCGACCGUGGGUUGGAUUGAGGAUGUCUAAUAUGCGCCGCAAGGUUUCGAUUGCUUAUCUCUGCUGAGUUAGUCUGCUUUGGAGAACAAUGUUCUGCGGGUAGCGAAGCUUGGUACUGGGUGGGACAAUCAGAUGCAUAUUCGCGAUUCUGACGAAAUGGUUUUCAUCGACCCGUCUUGGAACACGGACCAAGGAGUCUAACAUGUAUGCGAGUAUUUGGGUGGCAAAACCCUGAUGCGUAAUGAAAGUGAAGGUAGUUUCGGCUACUGAGGUAGGAAUCCGGCAACGGAGGCACUAUCGACCGAUCGUCACUUGUGAUAGAUUUGAGUAAGAGCAUAUCUGUUGGGACCCGAAAGAUGGUGAUCUAUGCCUGAACAGGGUGAAGCCAGGGGAAACUCUGGUGGAGGCUCGUAGCGAUACUGACGUGCAAAUCGUUCGUCUGAUUUGGGUAUAGGGGCGAAAGACUAAUCGAACCAUCUAGUAGCUGGUUCCCUC
This 1943-nucleotide unclassified non-coding RNA is filed under the name uncultured fungus. RNAcentral's name for it is "sequence contains 18S rRNA gene, ITS1, 5.8S rRNA gene, ITS2, 28S rRNA gene". The stretch from base 825 to 1943 matches the Rfam family "Eukaryotic large subunit ribosomal RNA", at positions 1 to 961 of the family's 3401-position model. The record is from RNAcentral. Lineage: Eukaryota; Fungi.